AUAUCAAUAAGCGGAGGAAAAGAAACCAACAGGGAUUGCCCCAGUAACGGCGAGUGAAGCGGCAACAGCUCAAAUUUGAAAUCUGGCCCCUAGGGUCCGAGUUGUAAUUUGUAGAGGAUGCUUUUGGUGAGGUGCCGCCCGAGUUCCCUGGAACGGGACGCCACAGAGGGUGAGAGCCCCGUCUGGCUGGCCACCGAGCCUCUGUAAAGCUCCUUCGACGAGUCGAGUAGUUUGGGAAUGCUGCUCAAAAUGGGAGGUAUAUGUCUUCUAAAGCUAAAUAUUGGCCAGAGACCGAUAGCGCACAAGUAGAGUGAUCGAAAGAUGAAAAGCACCUUGAAAAGAGGGUUAAAUAGUACGUGAAAUUGUUGAAAGGGAAGCGCUUGUGACCAGACUUGGGCGCGGCGGAUCAUCCGGGGUUCUCUCCGGUGCACUUCGCCGCGUCUAGGCCAGCAUCAGUUCGUCGCGGGGGAAAAAGGCUUCGGGAACGUGGCUCCUCCGGGAGUGUUAUAGCCCGUUGCAUAAUACCCUGCUUUGGACUGAGGACCGCGCAUCUGCAAGGAUGCUGGCGUAAUGGUCACCAGCGA
This 584-nucleotide ribosomal RNA is filed under the name Trichoderma cerinum. RNAcentral describes it as "eukaryotic LSU rRNA". It matches the Rfam family "Eukaryotic large subunit ribosomal RNA", at positions 40 to 647 of the family's 3401-position model. The record is from RNAcentral. Lineage: Eukaryota; Fungi; Ascomycota; Sordariomycetes; Hypocreales; Hypocreaceae.